Molecule: long non-coding RNA, 1475 nt
Organism: Ictidomys tridecemlineatus (thirteen-lined ground squirrel)
Lineage: Eukaryota; Metazoa; Chordata; Mammalia; Rodentia; Sciuridae
Source: RefSeq, a predicted model, not a curated record
UGUCGCUUCUUGGCUGCAUCCUAAAAGCCCUUUGUCAUAAUAAAGCCCAGGUAGUCCCUCCUGCUGGGUGAAGCAGCAAGAAAAUGUCAGCCUCCACUUGGAGGAAGUGGGGGUAUUAAGUACUCUUGCCUUCCUUGGGCUGUGGGAAGCGGUGGCAAGCUGCCUCUAAAUGUUGGCAAAUGUUCACCUCAAAGCUUGACCCCUUCCUGCCCGGACAGUAAUUACUGGAUUUUCCAGCAGUAUUUAACGAGAGCAGACGGAUACUGUCCCUGGCCACGGAGAAGACUACAAAAGAUGCACAUAUUGCAGAUAGCCAUCCAAAGGAAUGAAAGACAAUCCGCAGCUAAGGAAGGAGGUGUGAAUAUGCUGGAAGUUAUUUCUGUUUACAAGGACUACCCUAGUUCAUAGAUGUAUCAAAAUUCCAGACCCUGGCAGAUUACAGUCUACUAAGGACAGAUGAAGCAAUGGACUGCAAGUAAACUCUGCUAUUAAUUGGAAUGAAUACUCUCCAGUCAUCAAACAUGAUAAACACCAUGAAAUAUAUAAGAAAACGUGUGAAGAAAAUAUUAUAGCCACAGCUCCUAUGAAAAUAUAAUGAAAAGAGAAAGAACAAAAGACAGCCUGUGGGCUGGGAAUACAACCCAGUUGGUAGAGAGCUUGCUUCCUAUGCACAAGGCCCUGGUUCAAUCCACAGAACCAUGAAGAAAGGAAAAAAAGAAAAAAGAAAAAGGCAAACUGUGACAAGUUAGAUCUUUUGGCUCACUCCUUGACUGCUCUCUGACAUCUCUAGAUUACUGAACAGUUAGCAUUAUGCUGCUUGAAGCAUUGUCUGAUUUAGAGAUCAGACAAUGAGAUGAUGGGGUGGCGGGAGGAAGAAGGGAGGUGGUUCUGUUCUUAACAAUGCAAAGAUAAUUCAAAGAAAACAGAAUAAGAAAUACUGGAGUGGGAAUCAGGCAACCUUAACUGCAGUUCCAACUCUGCCAUUAAAAGCAAAUCCCAGUCUCCCCUCUGGAGACAGUCAUUUGUAUUGGAAUUGGUGACCUCAAAGAUAUUUUAUAUAUAUAUAUAUAACAUUUUAUAUCAUUCUAUAAUAUGGUUCCCAAAAGCUUAAAAUUAAAUGCAAAGAAUUGGUUAGAAUAUCAUGUUCAUGAGGCCAAACCAGUGAGUUUAGAUCCUGCAUGCUUCCCUUGUUCUAUGAUCACUGUCCUCUUAACCCUUGCCCGUAAUCUCACAGAUAGGAAUCACUGAUCACAGUGAGGCCUGAAUCAAUGUGUUUGGGAUACAUUCUCAAAAGUGGUAUAAAAAUGCCACCUGAAUAUUAGGAAAACAAGGCAUAAGCUGCUGAAAACUGUAAGGUCAGUUUGUUGGAAGGCAAUUAAAAAGAUUUCAAAGGAGGCAAGACCCUCUUAAGAGGCUAUGUUUGUGGCUGGGGCUGGGGUUGUGGCCCAGUGAUAGAGUUUCUCACCUAGCAUGCA